GGGCCUGUAACUCAGUGGUAGAGUGCCUGCUUUGCAAUCCUGUGGAUGAUACGACUGCAUGAAGUCCUGGGUUCAAUCCCCAGCUGGUCCA
This is a transfer RNA of Punctularia strigosozonata HHB-11173 SS5, 91 nucleotides long. It matches the Rfam family "tRNA". Rfam says of the family: Transfer RNA (tRNA) molecules are approximately 80 nucleotides in length. Their secondary structure includes four short double-helical elements and three loops (D, anti-codon, and T loops). The record is from Rfam. NCBI's taxonomy places the organism in Eukaryota, Fungi, Basidiomycota, Agaricomycetes, Corticiales, Punctulariaceae.